RNAcentral lists this ribosomal RNA (253 nucleotides) under uncultured bacterium. RNAcentral describes it as "partial 16S ribosomal RNA". It matches the Rfam family "Bacterial small subunit ribosomal RNA", at positions 524 to 776 of the family's 1533-position model. The record is from RNAcentral.
UACGUAGGGCGCAAGCGUUGUCCGGAAUUAUUGGGCGUAAAGAGCUCGUAGGCGGCUUGUCACGUCGGGUGUGAAAGCCCGGGGCUUAACCCCGGGUCUGCAUCCGAUACGGGCAGGCUAGAGUGUGGUAGGGGAGAUCGGAACUCCUGGUGUAGCGGUGAAAUGCGCAGAUAUCAGGAGGAACACCGGUGGCGAAGGCGGUUCUCUGGGCAUUACCUGACGCUGAGGAGCGAAAGUGUGGGGAGCGAACAGG